AUUGAACGCUGGCGGAAUGCUUUACACAUGCAAGUCGAACGGCAGCACGGACUUCGGUCUGGUGGCGAGUGGCGAACGGGUGAGUAAUACAUCGGAACGUGCCCAGUCGUGGGGGAUAACGUAGCGAAAGCUACGCUAAUACCGCAUACGAUCUACGGAUGAAAGCGGGGGAUCGCAAGACCUCGCGCGAUUGGAGCGGCCGAUGGCAGAUUAGGUAGUUGAUGGGGUAAAGGCUCACCAAGCCGACGAUCUGUAGCUGGUCUGAGAGGACGACCAGCCACACUGGCACUGAGACACGGCCCAGACUCCUACGGGAGGCAGCAGUGGGGAAUUUUGGACAAUGGGCGCAAGCCUGAUCCAGCCAUUCCGCGUGCAGGAUGAAGGCCCUCGGGUUGUAAACUGCUUUUGUACGGAACGAAAAGGCUCUGGUUAAUACCCGGGGCUCAUGACGGUACCGUAAGAAUAAGCACCGGCUAACUACGUGCCAGCCGCCGCGGUAA
RNAcentral lists this ribosomal RNA (500 nucleotides) under uncultured bacterium. RNAcentral's name for it is "partial 16S ribosomal RNA". It matches the Rfam family "Bacterial small subunit ribosomal RNA", at positions 30 to 523 of the family's 1533-position model. The record is from RNAcentral.